Molecule: ribosomal RNA, 433 nt
Filed under: uncultured bacterium
Lineage: Bacteria
Description: bacterial SSU rRNA
Rfam family: Bacterial small subunit ribosomal RNA
Source: RNAcentral
AACGAACGCUGGCGGCAGGCCUAACACAUGCAAGUCGAACGCUCUCUUCGGAGGGAGUGGCAGACGGGUGAGUAACGCGUGGGAAUCUACCCAGCUCUACGGAAUAACGCAUGGAAACGUGUGCUAAUACCGUACACGCCCCAUGGGGGAAAGAUUUAUCGGAGUUGGAUGAGCCCGCGUCUGAUUAGCUAGUUGGUGAGGUAAUGGCUCACCAAGGCGACGAUCAGUAGCUGGUCUGAGAGGAUGACCAGCCACACUGGGACUGAGACACGGCCCAGACUCCUACGGGAGGCAGCAGUGGGGAAUAUUGGACAAUGGGCGCAAGCCUGAUCCAGCCAUGCCGCGUGAGUGAUGACGGCCUUAGGGUUGUAAAGCUCUUUCACCGGUGAAGAUAAUGACGGUAACCGGAGAAGAAGCCCCGGCUAACUUCGUG